CGGCGUGCUUAACACAUGCAAGUCGAACGCUGAAGCUUGGUGCUUGCACUGGGUGGAUGAGUGGCGAACGGGUGAGUAAUACGUGAGUAACCUGCCCUUGACUCUGGGAUAAGCCUGGGAAACUGGGUCUAAUACUGGAUAUGACCUCCUGUCGCAUGGUGGGGGGUGGAAAGGGUUUGUACUGGUUGUGGAUGGGCUCACGGCCUAUCAGCUUGUUGGUGGGGUAAUGGCCUACCAAGGCGACGACGGGUAGCCGGCCUGAGAGGGUGACCGGCCACACUGGGACUGAGACACGGCCCAGACUCCUACGGGAGGCAGCAGUGGGGAAUAUUGCACAAUGGGCGCAAGCCUGAUGCAGCGACGCCGCGUGAGGGAUGA
Molecule: ribosomal RNA, 378 nt
Filed under: Kocuria marina
Lineage: Bacteria; Bacillati; Actinomycetota; Actinomycetes; Micrococcales; Micrococcaceae
Description: bacterial SSU rRNA
Rfam family: Bacterial small subunit ribosomal RNA
Source: RNAcentral